UAGGGAAUAUUGGACAAUGGGGGCAACCCUGAUCCAGCCAUGCCGCGUGAGUGAAGAAGGCCCUCGGGUUGUAAAGCUCUUUUGUCCGGAAAGAAAAGCAUUCGGUGAAUACCCGGAUGUUCUGACGGUACCGGAAGAAUAAGCACCGGCUAACUUCGUGCCAGCAGCCGCGGUAAUACGAAGGGUGCAAGCGUUACUCGGAAUUACUGGGCGUACAGCGUGCGUAGGCGGUUUUGUAAGACAGAUGUGAAAUCCCCGGGCUUAACCUGGGAACUGCGUUUGUGACUGCAAGGCUGGAGUACGGCAGAGGGGGGUGGAAUUCCACGUGUAGCAGUGAAAUGCGUAGAGAUGUGGAGGAACACCGAUGGCGAAGGCAGCCCCCUGAGCAUGUACUGACGCUCAUGCACGAAAGCGUGGGGAGCAAACA
This 427-nucleotide ribosomal RNA is filed under the name uncultured bacterium. RNAcentral's name for it is "bacterial SSU rRNA". It matches the Rfam family "Bacterial small subunit ribosomal RNA", at positions 355 to 774 of the family's 1533-position model. The record is from RNAcentral.